This is a long non-coding RNA of Zeugodacus cucurbitae (melon fly), 1117 nucleotides long. RefSeq lists it as uncharacterized. The record is from RefSeq and is a predicted model, not a curated record. Lineage: Eukaryota; Metazoa; Arthropoda; Insecta; Diptera; Tephritidae. The transcript is spliced from 2 exons.
UACAACUAGAUUUUCGGUGUUAUUCCUAAGUUUAUCGAUAAUUUUGCGAAGAAGAAGGGAAGUGUCAAAUCCCAGCAAGUCAUGAGUACUAAAACUCCAACAUAUUCAAUGAAAUUUUAAUAACACCAGUACAUACACACAUUUGCAACAAAGGGCAAAAUGUGCAUAAACAUUUACCUCAACUCUUCUAUCGUACAGCACCCUGAAUGAUAGAAAGAAACAACCAAAGUUCUCGUGUUUGAACAGGUUUUGUUUUGAGCUAUAUCAUGGCUGCUUGUGAAGUAUUAUUUUGCGUGUUUUAUUUAAAUCAGUGAUCUGCAGCCUAAUUAAAGUUUAAAUUAUUGAAGCAUGCAUUUUUAAAUAAGUAAAUCGUAAAAUAAAAGUUUUCUAAAGCCAAAAGUUGGAAUUGAAGAGUGCGACACAGUAAUACUUCAUUGCACUGCCAAUUCGAAGCUGACAAUAGAAGCUACGCCAACAAUGGUCAACAUCAUCGAAACCAUUGAAUACAUAUUUCAAAACUCGCGCCAUAUGAGUUAAAGGUACGCAAACUUAUUGGUGUCACUUAUGGUAGCAGCGAAGAUCUUUCGAAGCGAUGGAAUAUAUGCUGCAAGCAAAUCCAGGACAAUGGAUGCAAACGCCAGAUAUUAGGUUUAAAGUCACUUUUUACGUGCAAUUAAACCUUUUGCUCAACACAAGCACGAGAAUUGGAACGACAUGGUUUAGGUGAUUUUGUAACCAUUUAUUAUCGCGACGUGUGUCAAUUGGGUUUUGCCAAUGAGCAAAGCAGAUGCAGUAUUUUUGGACUUACCGGCACCUCAGUUGGCCAUACCAGCAGAUGAAACAUAGAAGUCAGAGGGUAAAUUUAAGUGAAUGUUUGUGAUCUUUAAAAGAAAAAAUUAACAGCCCUAUUCUGAAAAAACCUCAUAACUGAGUUGUGAGGAAAAAUUUGUGAGGUUUCUUGUGACGUAUAUUUUGUGAGUCUAUUCUGGCUCGAACCUCAUAAGAAAAAAGCUUAAAAAAGUCACCAAUUGAGGUGAAAAGCAUUUUGCUGUCAAACAGUUGUUUCAAAAGAAAUAAAUUCAAAAUAAAUCCAAUUGAUGUAAAAUUUGUAAACAAA